UCUCGGAGCAGGAAACAGCAGACUGCUGU
This 29-nucleotide non-coding RNA is filed under the name Cricetulus griseus (Chinese hamster). RNAcentral also lists the same sequence under 1 other name. Lineage: Eukaryota; Metazoa; Chordata; Mammalia; Rodentia; Cricetidae. The record is from RNAcentral.